RNAcentral lists this ribosomal RNA (253 nucleotides) under uncultured bacterium. Its description in RNAcentral is "partial 16S ribosomal RNA". It matches the Rfam family "Bacterial small subunit ribosomal RNA", at positions 524 to 776 of the family's 1533-position model. The record is from RNAcentral.
UACAGAGGGGGCAAGCGUUGUUCGGAAUUACUGGGCAUAAAGGGCGCGUAGGCGGCCUGCUAAGUCGAAUGUGAAAUCCCCGAGCUCAACUCGGGAACUGCGUCCGAUACUGGCAGGCUUGAAUCCGGGAGAGGGAUGCGGAAUUCCAGGUGUAGCGGUGAAAUGCGUAGAUAUCUGGAGGAACACCGGUGGCGAAGGCGGCAUCCUGGACCGGCAUUGACGCUGAGGCGCGAAAGCCAGGGGAGCAAACGGG